This 300-nucleotide ribosomal RNA is filed under the name uncultured bacterium. RNAcentral's name for it is "bacterial SSU rRNA". It matches the Rfam family "Bacterial small subunit ribosomal RNA", at positions 1077 to 1381 of the family's 1533-position model. The record is from RNAcentral.
GGGUUAAGUCCCGCAACGAGCGCAACCCUUGUCGUCUGUUGCCAGCGGGUAAUGCCGGGGACUCUGACGAAACUGCCAGUGUUCAACUGNGGAGAGGGGAUGAGUCAAGUCAUCAUGGCCUUACGGUAGGGCUUCAAACAUCAUACAAUGGCCGGUACAGAGGGCUGCGAACUCGCGAGGGGGAGCUAAUCUCACAAAACCGGUCUUAGUCAGGAUUGCAGUCUGCAACUCGACUGCAUGAAUCAGGAAUCGCUAGUAAUCGCAGAUCAGCAUGCUGCGGUGAAUACGUUCUCGGGUCUC